This 395-nucleotide ribosomal RNA is filed under the name uncultured bacterium. RNAcentral's name for it is "partial 16S ribosomal RNA". It matches the Rfam family "Bacterial small subunit ribosomal RNA", at positions 523 to 918 of the family's 1533-position model. The record is from RNAcentral.
AUACGUAGGGUGCAAGCGUUAAUCGGAAUUACUGGGCGUAAAGCGUGCGCAGGCGGUUUUGUAAGACAGUGGUGAAAUCCCCGGGCUCAACCUGGGAACUGCCAUUUUGACUGCAAGGCUGGAGUGCGGCAGAGGGGGAUGGAAUUCCGCGUGUAGCAGUGAAAUGCGUAGAUAUGCGGAGGAACACCGAUGGCGAAGGCAAUCCCCUGGGCCUGCACUGACGCUCAUGCACGAAAGCGUGGGGAGCAAACAGGAUUAGAUACCCUGGUAGUCCACGCCCUAAACGAUGUCAACUGGUUGUUGGGGAUUUAUUUUCUCAGUAACGAAGCUAACGCGUGAAGUUGACCGCCUGGGGAGUACGGCCGCAAGGUUAAAACUUAAAGGAAUUGACGGGG